RNAcentral lists this transfer RNA (64 nucleotides) under Endeis sp. JZ-2022. Its description in RNAcentral is "tRNA-Leu". The record is from RNAcentral. Lineage: Eukaryota; Metazoa; Arthropoda; Pycnogonida; Pantopoda; Endeidae.
CUUAAAUUGGCAGAAGUAAUGUGAGAAGUUUAGGACUUUUUUAUAAAUUAAAAUUUAUUUAAGC